This 527-nucleotide ribosomal RNA is filed under the name uncultured Actinomycetes bacterium. Its description in RNAcentral is "bacterial SSU rRNA". It matches the Rfam family "Bacterial small subunit ribosomal RNA", at positions 8 to 522 of the family's 1533-position model. The record is from RNAcentral. Lineage: Bacteria; Bacillati; Actinomycetota; Actinomycetes.
AGAGUUUGAUCAUGGCUCAGGACGAACGCUGGCGGCGCGCUUAACACAUGCAAGUCGAGCGAGAACCGGUCCUUCGGGACCGGGGAAAGCGGCGAACGGGUGAGUAACACGUGGGUCAUCAACCCCCGACACCGGGAUAGCCCGGGGAAACCCGGAUUAAUACCGGAUGGCCCAACAGCUCUUCGGGGCGGUUGGAAAAGGUAGCUUCGGCCUCCGGUCGGGGACGAGCCCGCGGCGGAUUAGCUUGUUGGUGGGGUAACGGCCUACCAAGGCGACGAUCCGUAGCUGGUCUGAGAGGACGAUCAGCCACACUGGGACUGAGACACGGCCCAGACUCCUACGGGAGGCAGCAGUGGGGAAUCUUGCACAAUGGGCGAAAGCCUGAUGCAGCGACGCCGCGUGAGGGAAGAAGGCUUUCGGGCUGUAAACCUCUUUCAGGAGGGACGAAGCUACUCGGGUUAAUAGCCCAGAGGGUGACGGUACCUCCAGAAGAAGCCCCGGCUAACUACGUGCCAGCAGCCGCGGUA